CACGUAGGGGGCAAGCGUUGUCCGGAUUUAUUGGGCGUAAAGAGCUCGUAGGUGGCUUAGUAAGUCGGGUGUGAAACCUCCAGGCUCAACCUGGAGACGCCACCCGAUACUGCUAUAGCUUGAGUCCGGUAGGGGAGCGUGGAGUUCCUGGUGUAGCGGUGAAAUGCGCAGAUAUCAGGAGGAACACCAGCGGCGAAGGCGGCGCUCUGGGCCGGUACUGACACUGAGGAGCGAAAGCGUGGGGAGCAAACAGG
This 254-nucleotide ribosomal RNA is filed under the name uncultured bacterium. Its description in RNAcentral is "partial 16S ribosomal RNA". It matches the Rfam family "Bacterial small subunit ribosomal RNA", at positions 524 to 776 of the family's 1533-position model. The record is from RNAcentral.